Molecule: long non-coding RNA, 1514 nt
Filed under: Mus musculus (house mouse)
Lineage: Eukaryota; Metazoa; Chordata; Mammalia; Rodentia; Muridae
Description: long non-coding RNA chr7:127978140-127979654
Source: RNAcentral
ACAAACAAGAAAACUGGACAGCCUAUGAUUAAUUUGUACACAGACAGGGAAACUGGCAAGUUGAAGGGUGAGGCAACAGUUUCAUUUGAUGACCCACCUUCUGCUAAAGCAGCUAUCGACUGGUUUGAUGGUAUGUAUUAAAACUAGGGUGGGCUGUGGGUUAGGGAAGCAGGUUCCAUUUUGUUUGUUUGUUUUUUUUUUUUUAUUGUGUAUGGAAAGAUGUUUGAUGUUCAGACAAUGACUUACAGGUAACAGUUCUUUUAAGUGGUUCAUAGGGAUGGAACUUGAGUGGUCAGGCUUGUCAUCAAGCACCUUUACCUGUUGAGCCAUCUUGGUGUGGUUUCAUUUUUGUUCGUGUCCCAUUAGUAUUCUAUACAUCUUUCCAAGAAGACAGUCUUAGAUCUUUUGGAUCUAAGUGUUUUGGAUCUGCAGGUCUCAGCAUUUAUUGUGUACAUGGGUGCGCAUGUGCAUGCCAUGGCAUAAGUAGCAAACCAUCUGGGGUAAUUCCUUUUACCAUAUGGGCUCAUAGGAUUGAACAUGGGUCAUCAGGCUUGGUGGCACUCAUACCAAGUUAUCUUGCUUUUUUGUAUGGUGCUGGAGUUCUAAAUCAGACCCUUUCAUAUUAUACUGCUUUUACAGCCCUGUCUCCCCACCCCGUCUUUUGAGACAGGGUUUCUCUGUGUAGCCUUGACUGGUCUCAAACUAGAGAUCUGCCUCUUGAGUACUAGGAUUGAAGGCAUGUGCCACCACUGACCAGCCCCAAAACCUUUAUAGCUACUUGUAAAAUUCUUACUUUUAAAAGUUAAAUUAGCCCCUUAAUUAGCACCAUCUUGGGGCCUCAUGAAAGGACUCUGCUCUGGAGUCAGCUCCACCACACCACAGAUGUGGACCCUUCUCAAGUGGCACGCAGCCCAAUUCUGAGCCUGUCUCCUUGUUUGUGAAAUAGAAACAGGAGUAUCCCAUUUGGGUUCUUGUGAAUGGCACAUGUUAUAAAAUAUGGCAAUCACUCAGCCCUGAACCUCAUACAGCAUUAGCGCAGCAAAUCAGAAUUCUCUCAUUUACUCUCCCCAAACACAUGGGCUCACCCCCUUCCUCUAAUUUCCUCCCCAAUCCAAUUCAAGUAAAUUUGCUGUUGCGGGAGAGGGAGUGGGACACCACUGUGUAAGGAGUCUAGGAAUGGGGAAUUUUCCUGGAAACUGGGAGAAGAUUCCUUGAUGCAGAGGCGGCUAGGAGGAACAUGAGCUAACCAGUACCCCCAGAGCUCCCUGAGACUAAACCACCAAUCAAAGAAAACACACGGAGAGACUCAUGCCUCCAGCUGCAUAUGUAGCUGAGGAUGGCCUAGUCAGUCAUCAAUGGGAGGAGAGGCUCUUGAUCCUGUGAAGGUUCUAUGCCCCAGUAUAGGCGAAUGCCUGGGCCAGGAAGCGGGAGUGGGUGGGUUUUUGGGGAGGCAGAGGGGCUAGGGCAUUUUCGGAGGGGAAACUAGGAAAGGGGAUAACAUUUGAAAUGUAAAU